AGAAAAUGUUUACUAAAUAUGGCAAGAUUGUGUGCAAUAUUCUUCUGAAUAAAUAAAGGGUAGACGACAGACCAGUUCAGUGUAACAAAAAUCAAUAAGUAACUACUUGGUAAAAAUAGUUUAAUUGUGACACCAGAUGAAAUACGUUCAGCCUUUGGAAGAUUCGUGAAAUGUGUAAUAUACGUACAGAUAAAUUUUUUGAUCCAUGGCCAGUAAAUAAAAAUGCUGGCCAUUGGUCAUUUAAUAAUUGAUAACAUGUACUUCAUUAUCCAGAUGUCAAUAUCUGAGAAACCUAGGACCAAUCAAUGUAAUUGUUUUUCAAUAUUCAAAUGAGACAGGAGCCAAAAUAUUUGAUGAGUAACUUCACAGGAUAUUUGAAGUGGCAAUAAUUGACAAAAUAAGCUGAUGCUUACAUUUAGGAUUCCUUAGAACCUCUCCAAUUGUGUUUAUCCGUAUUCAAAUGAGUCUGAAAUUAAAAUAUUAGGUGUGGUGUGACAUGACAGUCUUAUCUUCAGUUAACUGAAGAAUUUUUGUACAAUAACACACCAUAAAAAGUUUGCAUACACUUACUUAUUGCCUCAACAAGUGGAUAUCAUACUAGAAUGGUUAGGGUAGCAAUUGAGAUCUACAAACACAGAAAUAAAAUCAUCUGAACGGAAAAGAAGAAAUUAUAAAACUUUAUUAAAUUUGGACACCAUUUUUUAAAAACAUGCUAAGCAGAUAAGAAGUUGUCAGUCAGAGAAUAUGGAAGAUGGUAUUUAUUCAAAUUGAGUGAAAUACAAUAGAUGAAUCAACAUAAAUAAGAUGUAACUUACUACUUCUGAGUUCUUGAGCUUCGAUAAUAUAAUAAUUCCAUUGAACGUCGACCUAUAAACCCGAACAAACAGGCAUUCAGUAAAAAUAUGGUUUAUGUUGUCAUUUUCUAAUAAUUACUUGUUUAGUAUACAUGUAAGUUACUAUUGUAAUUUCUUGAGACAGACAGUAACUUAACAUUUGUAUAUUUUAGAACGUUAUUCUUAUGUUUAAAUUUGUACAAUAUUUUCCACUAGGAUCGUUAUGAUUUCAAUAUGUAUAUGUAAGUUUUGUUUUUUAAAUCAUAAAUCGUAAAAUUUGCAACAGUAUCAAUUUAAGGUUUAUAACUUGCUGCUCCACAAACAUUGGAGUAUGUUAUUACUGGGUGCAUUAAUAUACGUGCAAUGAUUUUUGGUUUCAGUUUAUUCAAACAGUUAUAGCAUUUCCUUCAUAUUUCAAAAUUGGCAAAUGAAUUGAUAUUAAACUAUUGAUGUUCACUGCAGGUAUGUCGCCACUUCCUAAAUGACGUUCAUUGAACAUAUAUUUAGGCAAUUUGUUUCAUGAAAACAAACAUUGUCGUUAGUUAUAACGCUUGCUACGUUCUUGUUGCUCAGUCUGGAUGGACUUCUUCAGUUCUUUGAAACUUACCUAAUAAAUUGAUAUUUCUGAAUUGUUUCUGACAAAUGAAGAUUGCCGUCAUUUUCUAAAUUGUAUUCAUUUCUCAGUCGUUUCCCUUCGAUAUACAUUAUAUUUUGAAAUUCUUCUGGACAUAAACUUCAUUUCGUUCGUUUCAUGGAAACUGCCAUGCAAAGACAUGACAAGUUCCCAACAUUGCUACAUAUUCUGUAUGAGAAAAUCCUUAUUAUCACAAUUGUGAGAAGCAUCCACAAAACACUUAACAGUUAGAUUUUCACUUCUCUUACACACAAGACCUUGCUCCAUUGUCCCAACAAUGCAUCUCAUGACUCUCUUUCAAGCAGCCCAAUGCACUUCCCCGUAACAUUUCUUAUACUGACUCAGUUUGCACACAUUAGGACGGGUUGAUAUUGCAAAAUACAUUAGAGAACCAAUAAAUCUCUGAUGUGGAAUACUAUCAUCUUUAGUUUCAUACUUUGGUCUUUACAAACACACAAGGAUCACAUAUCCCAUUAUUCCUAUUAGAGCAGUAUUCAGAGAGUCUUAAUAGUAUUAAAAUCUGCUUCCAUAGCGGUACUUGUUGUUGCUACACCCAUUUCUUCAUGUUCCAGUAAUUGUAUUUUCUGAUCCUGUGACAAGCGUUUGAUAAGAUGAGUUUUUAAUUUAUUGUACUUAUAUUCAGGUAGCGGUGUGACGAUGAUGUCCGCCAUUUAUGCUGCAUAUUUGCUAUCAAGCUUUACGAUGUGCGUUACGCUUUUGAAUUUGUACAGAAGCUGACGUUUUAGGGAGCCGGGGUGUCAUCUUCUUACAUUUGUACAAUAAUUAGUUCUGGCGUUCUCCCAGGUCUGCAAGGAGUGUGCUGGCAAAACCUGAGAGUUGCGUUCAUCUCCGUUGUCCCGCUCUUGAACAAUGAACCACAAAAAUUAUAUUAAAUAAUAUAAUAUUUAAUUAUAUUCUUCGCCACAAUUGAUAUUUUCUAAAUGAUUAGUCAAAAUAUCGAGUUUUGGUUAUCUUAUACAGUCGAUAUGUCUUAAUAAAUCAGGUUUAAGGAAACUUCGUUGGACUGAGACCAGCAACGUUUCUGUUAAACUAUACAGUAAGUGAAUCCUUGUUUCUGAUGACUAUGUAUUGUGUAUGUUAAAAUAAUUUAAAAUAAAUUUCAAUAAAUACAGAGAGGCUUUGGCAUCCUGAAAAAUAAUAAUUGUACUAGUCAUGCAUUGUUCUCUCACAACUUUCUUUUUGCCCUCAUCCA
Long non-coding RNA from Aethina tumida (small hive beetle), 2680 nucleotides. RefSeq lists it as uncharacterized. The transcript has 4 exons. NCBI's taxonomy places the organism in Eukaryota, Metazoa, Arthropoda, Insecta, Coleoptera, Nitidulidae. The record is from RefSeq and is a predicted model, not a curated record.